This 428-nucleotide ribosomal RNA is filed under the name uncultured bacterium. RNAcentral describes it as "partial 16S ribosomal RNA". It matches the Rfam family "Bacterial small subunit ribosomal RNA", at positions 355 to 774 of the family's 1533-position model. The record is from RNAcentral.
UGGGGAAUAUUGCACAAUGGGCGCAAGCCUGAUGCAGCCAUGCCGCGUGUGUGAAGAAGGCCUUCGGGUUGUAAAGCACUUUCAGCGAGGAGGAAGGUGGUGAGCUUAAUACGCUCAUCAAUUGACGUUACUCGCAGAAGAAGCACCGGCUAACUCCGUGCCAGCAGCCGCGGUAAUACGGAGGGUGCAAGCGUUAAUCGGAAUUACUGGGCGUAAAGCGCACGCAGGCGGUUUGUUAAGUCAGAUGUGAAAUCCCCGGGCUCAACCUGGGAACUGCAUUUGAAACUGGCAAGCUAGAGUCUCGUAGAGGGGGGUAGAAUUCCAGGUGUAGCGGUGAAAUGCGUAGAGAUCUGGAGGAAUACCGGUGGCGAAGGCGGCCCCCCUGGACGAAGACUGACGCUCAGGUGCGAAAGCGUGGGGAGCAAACA